RNAcentral lists this unclassified non-coding RNA (230 nucleotides) under plant metagenome. RNAcentral's name for it is "partial contains small subunit ribosomal RNA, internal transcribed spacer 1, and 5.8S ribosomal RNA". The record is from RNAcentral.
UCUCCGUAGGUGAACCUGCGGAGGGAUCAUUACAGAUUUCUCUCCCCCACGGGUCGACCUCCCGCGCACUGUUAUCGUUACUGUCGUUUCUUUGGCGGGCCGCCGGGUCCCCGCCCGCCGUCGCCUUUCUGACGGCGCGCGCCCGCCAGAGGCCUUCUAACUCUGAAUGUUAGUGUCGCCUGAGUACUAUAUAACAGUUAAAAUUUUCAACAACGGAUCUCUUGGUUCUG